This 397-nucleotide ribosomal RNA is filed under the name uncultured bacterium. Its description in RNAcentral is "partial 16S ribosomal RNA". It matches the Rfam family "Bacterial small subunit ribosomal RNA", at positions 360 to 774 of the family's 1533-position model. The record is from RNAcentral.
AAUAUUGGACAAGGGGGGCAACCCUGAUCCAGCCAUGCCGCGUGUGUGAAUAAGUAUUUCGGUAUGUAAAGCACUAUCAGCAGGGAAGAAAAUGACGGUACCUAACUAAGAAGCCCCGCCUAACUACGCGCCAGCAGCCGCGGUAAUACGUAGGGGGCAAGCGUUAUCCGGAUUUACUGGGUGUAAAGGGAGCGUAGGUGGCAUAUCAAGUCAGAUGUGAAAGCCCGGGGCUCAACUCCGGGAUUGCAUUUGAAACUGGUUAGCUAGAGUGCAGGAGAGGUAAGUGGAAUUCCUAGUGUAGCGGUGAAAUGCGUAGAUAUUAGGAGGAACACCAGUGGCGAAGGCGGCUUACUGGACUGUAACUGACACUGAGGCUCGAAAGCGUGGGGAGCAAACA